Molecule: ribosomal RNA, 887 nt
Filed under: Nematoda environmental sample
Lineage: Eukaryota; Metazoa; Nematoda
Description: SSU rRNA
Rfam family: Eukaryotic small subunit ribosomal RNA
Source: RNAcentral
UAAAAUCUACUUGAUCUUGACACAAUCCUACUUGGAUAACUGUGGUAAUUCUAGAGCUAAUACAUGCAUUAAAGCUCUGACCUCACGGGAAGAGUGCACUUAUUAGAACAAAACCAAGCGGCUUCGGCUGUUUCUGGUUGACUCAUAGUAACUGAGCUGAUCGCACGGUCUUGCACCGGCGACGUGUCUUUCGAGUAUCUGCCGUAUCAACUUUCGAUGGUAGUGUAUCUGACUACCAUGGUGAUCACGCGUAACGGAGAAUAAGGGUUCGGCUCCGGAGAGUUCGCCUGAGAAAUCGCGAACACAUCUAAGGAAGGCAGCAGGCGCGAAAAUUACCCACUCUCAGCACGAGGAGGUAGUGACGAAAAAUAACGAGACCGUUCUCUUAUGAGGCCGGUCAUCGGAAUGGGUACAAUUUAAACCCUUUAACGAGUAUCUAUGAGAGGGCAAGUCUGGUGCCAGCAGCCGCGGUAAUUCCAGCUCUCAAAGUGCAUAGAAUUAUUGCUGCGGUUAAAAAGCUCGUAGUUGGAUCUGUGCCAUAGGACGUGGUCCACCUUCUGGGUGCGUACUAUGUUCCUAGGCUUUUUGCUGGUUUUCCCGUCGUAGCCUUAACUGGUUGCGGCGGGUGGCUGGCGAGUUUACUUUGAGAAAAUCAGAGUGCUCAACACAGGCGUAUCGCUUGAAUGAUUGUGCAUGGAAUAAUAGAAAAGGAUUUCGGUCCUCUUUUAUUGGUUUUGUGGACUGAGAUAAUGGUUAACAGGGACCAACGGGGGCAUUCGUAUCGUUGCGUGAGAGGUGAAAUUCUUGGACCGUAGCGAGACGCCCUACUGCGAAAGCAUUUGCCAAGAAUGUCUUCAUUAAUCAAGAACGAAAGUCAGAGGUUCGAA